Molecule: ribosomal RNA, 497 nt
Filed under: uncultured bacterium
Lineage: Bacteria
Description: partial 16S ribosomal RNA
Rfam family: Bacterial small subunit ribosomal RNA
Source: RNAcentral
GACGAACGCUGGCGGCGUGCCUAAUACAUGCAAGUAGAACGCUGAAGAGAGGAGCUUGCUCUUCUUGGAUGAGUUGCGAACGGGUGAGUAACGCGUAGGUAACCUGCCUUGUAGCGGGGGAUAACUAUUGGAAACGAUAGCUAAUACCGCAUAACAAUGGAUGACACAUGUCAUUUAUUUGAAAGGGGCAAUUGCUCCACUACAAGAUGGACCUGCGUUGUAUUAGCUAGUAGGUGAGGUAACGGCUCACCUAGGCGACGAUACAUAGCCGACCUGAGAGGGUGAUCGGCCACACUGGGACUGAGACACGGCCCAGACUCCUACGGGAGGCAGCAGUAGGGAAUCUUCGGCAAUGGGGGCAACCCUGACCGAGCAACGACGCGUGAGUGAAGAAGGUUUUCGGAUCGUAAAGCUCUGUUGUAAGUCAAGAACGAGUGUGAGAGUGGAAAGUUCACACUGUGACGGUAGCUUACCAGAAAGAGACGGCUAACUACGUG